GCGCGAAAACUUUACAAUGCUGGCAACAGCGAUAAGGGAACCUCGAGUGCCAGGUUACAAAUCUGGCUGUCGAGAUGCCUAAAAAGCAUUUCAUAGCAAGGGCCGGGCAAGACCGGUGCCAGCCGCCGCGGUAACACCGGCGGCUCGAGUGGUAACCGUUAUUAUUGGGUCUAAAGGGUCUGUAGCCGGCCGGAUAAGUCUCUUGAGAAAUCUGGCAGCUUAACUGUCAGGCUUUCAGGAGAUACUGUCUGGCUCGAGGCCGGGAGAGGUGAGGGGUACUUCAGGGGUUGGGGUGAAAUCUUGUAAUCCUUGAAGGACCACCAGGGGCGAAGGCGUCUCACCAGAACGGACCUGACGGCAAGGGACGAAAGCUAGGGGCACGAACCG
RNAcentral lists this ribosomal RNA (387 nucleotides) under uncultured bacterium. RNAcentral describes it as "bacterial SSU rRNA". It matches the Rfam family "Archaeal small subunit ribosomal RNA", at positions 339 to 726 of the family's 1478-position model. The record is from RNAcentral.